AAACAUUUCUAUAAUUAAGUAUAAUACCAAUAUUUCAUUUAAUAGAGUUCAUGAUUUCUAAAUACCUAAUAUUCAGUUAAUUUUAAAAUUUCCCAAUUGUCUGCAAAAUGAAAUGUUUAUGGUUGUUCUUUUUCAAAUUAUGAUCCAAACAUAUAUACAGUAUAUCUUGUUAUUUUGGCUAUUAAGUUUCUAAAUCUAAGUUGGUUUUCUAUUUUGCUCCCUACCAACUAUGACUUGUUGAAGGAGCUCUGUGUAUUGCCUACAGUGUACCACAGUCUGAAUUUAGUCGGUUGCUUUCUUGUUCAUCAUUAUUUCAUAUUCUAGAAGUUAGAUCUAGGGUAUAUAGAUUAGAUUCUGAUUUCACUUUUCUUGGCAAGAAUACUUGAUCAUGCUAUCAGGGUUGUGGCUCAGUAGUGGAGCGCUUCUCUAGCACGUGUGAGACGCACUGGGUUCAAUCCUCAGCACUACAUAAAAAUAAAGUUAUUAAAAAAACUUGAUCAUAAUGUAGUACACUUAAAGUCAUAAAAGGCGUUUAAUUUUACCUGUGUUACUUUUAAUGAUGCUUAGCUU
Molecule: long non-coding RNA, 570 nt
Filed under: Marmota monax (woodchuck)
Lineage: Eukaryota; Metazoa; Chordata; Mammalia; Rodentia; Sciuridae
Source: RNAcentral